AUUGAACGCUGGCGGCAGGCCUAACACAUGCAAGUCGAACGGUAACAGGAAGCAGCUUGCUGCUUAGCUGACGAGUGGCGGACGGGUGAGUAAUGUCUGGGAAACUGCCCGAUGGAGGGGGAUAACUACUGGAAACGGUAGCUAAUACCGCAUAACGUCGCAAGACCAAAGAGGGGGACCUUAGGGCCUCUUGCCAUCGGAUGUGCCCAGAUGGGAUUAGCUAGUAGGUGGGGUAACGGCUCACCUAGGCGACGAUCCCUAGCUGGUCUGAGAGGAUGACCAGCCACACUGGAACUGAGACACGGUCCAGACUCCUACGGGAGGCAGCAGUGGGGAAUAUUGCACAAUGGGCGCAAGCCUGAUGCAGCCAUGCCGCGUGUAUGAAGAAGGCCUUCGGGUUGUAAAGUACUUUCAGCGGGGAGGAAGGGAGUAAAGUUAAUACCUUUGCUCAUUGACGUUACCCGCAGAAGAAGCACCGGCUAACUCCGUG
Molecule: ribosomal RNA, 490 nt
Filed under: uncultured bacterium
Lineage: Bacteria
Description: partial 16S ribosomal RNA
Rfam family: Bacterial small subunit ribosomal RNA
Source: RNAcentral